RNAcentral lists this long non-coding RNA (2216 nucleotides) under Homo sapiens (human). Its description in RNAcentral is "HSALNT0369379". The record is from RNAcentral. Lineage: Eukaryota; Metazoa; Chordata; Mammalia; Primates; Hominidae.
GCCAUCUCCUGUUCAGAGUAGCUCACCCAGGAUUGCCUGUGCAUACAUUUGCUUUAAAUUCAAGUGUAAUACCCAGGAUAAACUGAUUUCAAUGAGACUCAGGAAUAUUCCCCAUGCAUUUAAGGUUCUCCAUUCAGCCUCUUCUCGAAGCAACAUCUUUUGGUGGUGGUCAGUGUUAGAAGGCAGUUUGAACAAGAUUAAGAGGAUAAAACUGUUGUUCUUCUGGGAAGAAGAGGUCACAAUACAGUAGUGAUGUGAUCAAAGAUGGAAGGAAAGAAGACAGCAAUGUCCUUCUCCUAAGGCAGAAGAAAUCAGAGAGAAGGAUGGAGUGGGGAAAAGAAGAGGGAGGCUGACAGAGAAGCUUAAAGAAAUGCUUUCAGAUGGCAACAAAAGCCAAAAUAGACAAAUGGGAUUUAAUUAAACGAAAGAGUUUCUGCACAGCAAAAUAAACUAUCAUCAGCGUGAACAGGCAACCUACCGAAUGGGAGAAAAUUCUCACAAUCUACCCAUUUGACAAAAGGCUAAUAUCCAGAAUCUACAAAGAACUUAAACAAAUUUGAAAGAAAAAAAACAAUCCCAUCAAAAAGUGGGCAAAGGAUAUGAACAGACGCUUCUCAAAAUAAGACAUUUAUGCAGCCAACAGACAUAUGAAAAAAUGCUCAUCAUCACUGGUCAUCAGAGAAAUGCAAAUCAAAACCACAAUGAGAUACCAUCUCACGCCAGUUAGAAUGGCAAUCAUUAAGAAGUCAGGAAACAACAGAUGCUGGAGAGGAUGUGAAGAAAUAGGAACGCUUUUACACUGUUGGUGGGAGUGUGAAUUAGUACAACCAUUGUGGAAGACAGUGUGGUGAUUCCUCAAGGAUCUAGAACUAGAAAUACCAUUUGACCCAGCAAUCCCAUUACUGGGUAUAUACCCAAAGGAUUAUAAGUCACACUACUACAAAGACACAUGCACACGUAUGUUUAUUUUGGCACUAUUCACCAUAGCAAAGACUUGGAGCCAACCCAAACGUCCAUCAAUAAUAGACUGGAUAAAGAAAAUGUGGCACAUAUACACCAUGGAAUACUAUGCAGCCACAAAAAAGGAUGAGUUCAUGUCCUUUGCAGGGACAUGGAUGAAGCUGGAAACCAUCAUUCUCAGCAAAAUACCACGAGGACAGAAAACCAAACACUGCAUGUUCUCACUUAUAAGUGGAAAUUGAACAAUGAGAACACAUGGACACAGACAGGGGAACAUCACAUGUGGGGGCCUGCUCGGGGGUGGGGGGCUUGGGGAGGGAUAGCGUUAGGAGAAAUACCUAAUGUAAAUGAGGAGUUGAUGGGUGCAGCAAACCAACAUGGCACAUGUAUACCUAUGUAACAAAACUGCACGUUGUGCACAUGUAACCUAGAACUUAAAGUAUAACUAAAAAAAAAAAAAAAAAAGAAAGAAAAAUAAAGAGUUGUGCUUCAGAAAAAAAAAAAUGCUUUCAGGAUUGCCUCUUCAGACAUGGUUACAAUACAUAUACUCAGUUUUCUUUAUUAACUGGACCAGAUUAAUCUUCAUUAAACUGACUGAACUAGUAAUCUUUUAAUUUUAUGUCAUCAGACAUAAACAUUUGUCUUUUUUUUCGUUUUGCAUUAGCUUAAAUUGGUUUACCUCUCCUGAUAGUCUCCCUAUACCCUUUUUCUUUGUCCUUUAUACUCCAAGUAAAUCAUAUACCAUAUGUGGGAUCAAAUGGGGAGUAAAGUAUCCUCCAUCCUCCUGUCCUCAUUUGCUGUAAACCGGUGUAAAUUCUUACUUGUGCAUCUACAAUCUGUAUUAUUGGGUAUGUUCUUAAUGUAAUCUUUGUUCAGCUGAUAGUUUAUUUCAAAUUAUGAAAUCUGUUUAUAUCAUUACUUGUUUUUCCUAUGACAUGUAGUUUUUCACAAUAGCAAAGAGUUGAUGUGAUUUUUGUAGAUAUGCUAGAAAAUAAAAACUUUUUAAAUAACAUUUUUCAUAGUUAUUUGUUUGCUUUCAAAUUGCCCAAAGUAUAUUGCCAUGGAAACUUGCCUAUUUAGGAUAUUUCAAACAUAUAUUUUAAAAAUAUUGAAAUGUGGUGGUCAUUAAGAUACUCUCCCAAAACCAUAUCUAAACUCUUCCUUCUUUGGAGAAACAAUGAUUAAUAAUAGGUGUCUAGUGGUACCUACGCAUUCUUCAAAGAACACUAUUUUUGUGAUGAUAUGUGCUGUUCAUG